UACCCGCCCCCUUGGCCGGUAGCUUAACACAUGCAGUCGAGCGUUCCGCAAGGGGAGCGGCAGACGGGUGAAUAACGCGUGGGAAUCUACCCUUUUCUACGGAAUAACGCAGGGAAACUUGUGCUAAUACCGUAUGAGCCCUUCGGGGGAAAGAUUUAUCGGGAAAGGAUGAGCCCGCGUUGGAUUAGCUAGUUGGUUGGGUAAAGGCCUACCAAGGCGACGAUCCAUAGCUGGUCUGAGAGGAUGAUCAGCCACAUUGGGACUGAGACACGGCCCAAACUCCUACGGGAGGCAGCAGUGGGGAAUAUUGGACAAUGGGCGCAAGCCUGAUCCAGCCAUGCCGCGUGAGUGAUGAAGGCCCUAGGGCUGUAAAGCUCUUUCACCGGUGAAGAUAAUGACGGUAACCGGAGAAGAAAAAAAACCUCUCUUUGUGCUAGCGGCCGCGGUAAUACGAAGGGGCUAGCGUUGUUCGGAAUUACUGGGCGUAAAGCGCACGUAGGCGGAUUGUUAAGUGAGGGUGAAAUCCCAGGGCUCAACCCUGGAACUGCCUUUCAUACUGCAAUCUAGAGUCCAGAAGAGGUGAGUGGAAUUCCGAGUGUAGAGGUGAAAUUCGUAGAUAUUCGCAGGAACACCAGUGGCGAAGGCGGCUCACGUGUUCUGCACUGACGCUGAUGUGCGAAAGCGUGGGGAGCAAUCAGGGAUUACAUACCCUUGUUAGUCCACGCCUUAAACUACGACGGUAGCCCGCCGGGCAGUAUACUGAUCGGGGCUGCAGCUCACGCAUUAAUCAUAUCGGCCUGAGGAG
RNAcentral lists this ribosomal RNA (805 nucleotides) under uncultured bacterium. Its description in RNAcentral is "bacterial SSU rRNA". It matches the Rfam family "Bacterial small subunit ribosomal RNA", at positions 28 to 880 of the family's 1533-position model. The record is from RNAcentral.